CUUUAAGGGGGAGCCGGAGCAAGCCUCUGCUGCUGCUGUUUCAUUUCGGGGGGAACACGCAGUCAAGCUGAAUGUUAAAUGUGCCCGUGAUGAUUACUAAUAAUGUUUAAUUCUCAGUAUGGAUCCUUCUCCGGAGCUGUGUGAAGAUUGCCUAGUGAUGCCCACAGUACUGUAAAUUCUACAAAACAUAAGUACAACGUGGACAUGAUCAAUUGGCUACUGUGAUUGAGGUGUUCUGUGACAGUCCCUUUAAUGAGAAAUUAACAAAAUGGAUUAAUAACAGGACAUUCAGGACCUGACGCUCUGCUUGGUAUGUCAUUACAAAAAUCAUCAAGGAGGGCUAUGCCUGAUAAAUGAGGGUGCUAUAAAUGUGGGCAACAGGGACAUGUACAAAAAUUGUCCAGAAGUCAAAAAUCAAAAUAAGGCUCUUCCUGGGAUUUGCUUCCAGUGCUAAAAGGGAAGGCAUUGAGACAAUAAAUGUCACUCCAAAACUGAUAAAGAAGGUAAUUCAUUAAAAAACAGAGUUCAGGAAACUGGAAGCGGGGCCAGCCUCAGGCCCUCCCUACAGGGAUCAGUGGACCAUUUUGCUAUAGUAUCAUUAAAGCAAUGGAGCCAUGUUUAUUGCAACAUUCCGUUAAUCUAUGCUCCUUUACCAUCUUUCCUGUAAAUAAUUUUAGUGUGCACUACAAGGCUUGCAGCGUAUUUCUUGUGGAUUAAACUAAAAGUAACUAAGUCUGUGCACAGCAGACAGCUGAAAAGUAAUUUACUGUCACAAAUUGGCGUAGUUGGCAGGAUCUGCAAGUAUGCAAAGCAAUGCCUUUCUUUAAAAGAAAAACUGAAGUUGCAUGUGUAACCUGUGAUGUUCCUGGCUGGAAAGACCUUCAGUUCGCCUCUUUGGUGAAGGAAUGGGCUCUCUGCUCAGAAUCGAGUGAGAAUUGGGAUGGCAAGUUACAGAGUGCACAGCCUCCACAAGUUAUUGAGGUUUUGCUAUCAGUGCCGGUGGAAAAGGGGGGGGAGAAGAGAAAGGUUUGAGCAAGUUACAGAAGGUGUGAGAAAGUCGCAAAAUGUUAUGGAAAGAAGAAAUCUUUGGUUAUUUUCUUUGACAUAAAAUCAAAAUCUGAUCCUCUGUUAAAGCAAUGAGUUAAAGUAAUCUAUUAUGUUCUCUUGAUGUCUCUGUUAAAUUCUAACUGCUUAAAAACAGCUGUAAAAAGAGCAGUGGUGAAAUGGAGGGAUCCUAUCACCAAUCAAUGGAAUGGACCUGAUCCAGUACUGGUAUGGGACAAGGCUCCUAAGGGAUGGGUUUUUUCUAUGUAACCAACAUGCCUUUCUGCAAUUGCUCCUGGGCCAUGUGGCCCUGAUGCUAACAUCUG
Molecule: long non-coding RNA, 1370 nt
Filed under: Oryctolagus cuniculus (rabbit)
Lineage: Eukaryota; Metazoa; Chordata; Mammalia; Lagomorpha; Leporidae
Description: lncRNA (ENSOCUG00000034040.1)
Source: RNAcentral